UGGGCAGACCCGCCUAAUCGUCGCCUGACCUCUGCGGGUCAGUCGGCGGGCCGGGGACCCAUGUGUUCCUGGGGUGAAUCUGCCACCGCGCAGUAGGGCUCCUUCCAGCCCGAACCCGUCAGCUAACUCGGUCGGUGGAAGGAAGAACGG
This 150-nucleotide small RNA is filed under the name Geodermatophilus sp. RNAcentral describes it as "c-di-AMP sequence". It matches the Rfam family "c-di-AMP riboswitch aptamer (ydaO/yuaA leader)". From Rfam's summary of the family: This family represents a conserved RNA structure found upstream of the ydaO and yuaA genes in Bacillus subtilis and related genes in other bacteria. The ydaO/yuaA element is thought to act as a genetic "off" switch for the ydaO and yuaA genes in its native state. The record is from RNAcentral. Lineage: Bacteria; Bacillati; Actinomycetota; Actinomycetes; Geodermatophilales; Geodermatophilaceae.